UGCCCCGAUGACCUAUGAAGCUGUGAUAAAAAUGCCGAUAAAGUUGAAUAACCAAUAUUCACAGAACGACCACGGGGGUCCAUUGGUAACGUGGGUAGGCUCAGAACUUACAGUCAUCGGAGUUGCCACAGGGACUGUAUAUAAGAGCAACUAUGUCUGUAGCGGACCCUUCCUCUUCACAAGUACCUAUUGUACAGGAAGUAUCCUGCAGUGCAUGCUCAACUCUGAUCCAGAUAAUCGAAGAAGAUGCUCUGACCAAGUCAAACAAGAUGGGUUUGAUAUCCAAGAAACUUCUGUGAAUUGGCACGACAAGGAGUGAUCUAAGAAUCGCUCUCCGACUAAUUCGUGUGAUUACAAAGGAUACCAACUCCCAAUAUUUUUGGAAAAUGUUUUUUUAUUAUUUUUUUGGAGAAACAAGGUUUUUUGAUCCAAUUACAUAUCGACGCUUGAAAGGCAAACGUAACUAAGCGACAAUAACUGCUUUGUACAUAAAUGAUAGGCAAUAACGUUACGCGAUGCGCAAAAAAAAUAAUUCUAGGUCUAUUAAAAUCAUUUCAAUCCUAAAUAGAAUUAUUUCCAGGUAUUUCAACUUUAAAUUAGUCUACUGUAAAGUUCACGCAUUGUCGCUUAGCCACGUUGGCCUUUCAAGCGUAGAUAUAUAAUUAUCUAUUACAUAUAAAUAAAAUUGGAGUGUCUGUUUGUAAUAUUGAAAUAACCGCUUUUCACUACAUGCAUAUGAAUAUAAUAUAUACGGUAGAUAUAUACACCAUAAUAACAUUUUUUUUUAUUUUUGUCUGUCUGUCUGUCUGUUUGUUCCGGCUAAUCUCUGAAACGGCUGGAGCGAUUUUGACGGGACAUUAACUUGUGUUUUUGAUGCAAAUAUUAAUCUAAGAAUGUAACAGUUCUCUUGUCCUGUGAAAUUUACAAGAAAUUAUCGAUUCAUAUUUAAAAUGUUAUUGUGAAAAACUAACACUAUAUUUAGAGUGUGUGCUUAAUUAAAACUGUAACACACACCUAAAGUGUGAAUUGGUGCACUAUUGGAAAUAAAACUUUUUUCAAUACUUUAUUACAAUAAAA
Long non-coding RNA from Bombyx mori (domestic silkworm), 1077 nucleotides. RefSeq lists it as uncharacterized. NCBI's taxonomy places the organism in Eukaryota, Metazoa, Arthropoda, Insecta, Lepidoptera, Bombycidae. The transcript is spliced from 2 exons. The record is from RefSeq and is a predicted model, not a curated record.